This 242-nucleotide unclassified non-coding RNA is filed under the name Glomeraceae sp. RNAcentral describes it as "partial contains 5.8S ribosomal RNA and internal transcribed spacer 2". The stretch from base 1 to 70 matches the Rfam family "5.8S ribosomal RNA", at positions 84 to 154 of the family's 154-position model. Lineage: Eukaryota; Fungi; Glomeromycota; Glomeromycetes; Glomerales; Glomeraceae. The record is from RNAcentral.
GUGAAUCAUCAAAUUUUUGAACGCAAAUUGCGCUUCCUGGCAUCCCGGGAAGUAUGCCUGUUUGAGGUCAGUAUUAAUUAAAAAUCGGGUUAGUUACAAAUUGUUACGUUUCCGGGGUUUUGGCUAUCUUAACAUUUUUGGUUAAGAGGCUUAAAAUUUACCUUUUUUGCGCAUUUUUUAACGUACAUAAAUUUUUUUUAUUCGUCUUUUCUUAAUUCCAAAAUCUUAUUUAAUUCCAUCAA